This is a long non-coding RNA of Populus nigra (black poplar), 3561 nucleotides long. RefSeq lists it as uncharacterized. The transcript is spliced from 2 exons. The record is from RefSeq and is a predicted model, not a curated record. NCBI's taxonomy places the organism in Eukaryota, Viridiplantae, Streptophyta, Magnoliopsida, Malpighiales, Salicaceae.
CUCGGUUCAAUUUUCCCGGCUCCACAGUCUCCAAUUAAACAAACAAAAACCCCUCCAAACUCCAAAGGGCUCUUAAAACCCUACCUUACUCUUCUCCUUCUCCUUCUCCUGUUGCUCAUGUAUUAUCAUCAAGAACAACUGCUUCUUCUAUUGGCAAAAUCUCCUCCCCCUUCUUCAGUAACCCACAAAAACCCACUUCUUCAAAUCCCAAAACUUCAAACGAAGAGCUCACUUCAAACUCCAAAACUUUCCCAGAAGUCACAACCUUUAACGCUCAAAACCAAACGCCACUUCAAGAAUUCCUCAAGAGAAACUGCAAGUCAGGUAAUUGCACUCUCAAUGAAGCAACUCACUUCUUUGAUCACAUGAUUAACAUGAACCCCACCCCUCCAAUUGCAUCAUUCCAUCUUUUAUUAGGUUCACUUGCUAAGAAAAAGCUUUACUUUGAUGUUAUUUUAUUGUGUAAAAGAAAGAAUCAGCUGGGUUGUUGAUGGAUUUUAUCACUUUGAAUAUUUUGCUUAAUUGUUUUUGUAAUGCGAAGAGGGUCUGUGAUAGUCUUGUGGUUUUUGGGAGGAUUUUAAGGUGAGGUUUUAUGCCAAAUACUGCGACUUUUAGUUCUAUGAUUAAGGGUUUAUUUCGGAGGAUAAAACUGGUUAGGUUGUCGGAUUGUUUAAGAAAAUGGGUUUGUUUGGUUGUUGGCCAAAUGUGGUUACUUAUGGUAUUCUGAUUAAUGGGUUGUGUCGAACUGGGAAUAAGUGUCGCUGUGAAGUUUCAUGAAGAAAUGCUUAGUGGAAAUGGUAAAUUUGGUAUUUAUUGCAAGCCUAAUUUGGUUUGUUAUGGAAGUAUUAUUGAUGGUCUUUGUAAGGAUGGGUUGGCGGAGAAGGCGAAAAAGCUUUUUCUGGAAAUGAAGGGUAGAGGUAUUUGUCCUGAUGUGGUUGUGUAUGGCCCCCUAAUGCAUGGUUUGUGCUCUAUGGAUGAGUGGGAGGAGGCUAAAGGUUUGUUUAAUGAGAUGAUGGAUCAUGGAUCAAGGUAUGCGGCCUUAUGUGGUAACAUUCAAUUUGCUGAUAGAUAUGCUUUGCCAGUCUUGGAAGAUGAAAGAGUCAAGUGAAUUGUUUGAGCUUAUGGCUCAGAGAGGUAUAGAACCCGAUGGUUUUACUUAUUCCACUUUGAUAGAUGGAUACUGUUUGUCUGGUAUGAUUGAUGAUGGGAGGGAGCUCUGUGUCUCUGGUGAAUAAGGGGUGUAAACAUAAUGUUGUUAGCCAUAAUGCUUUGAUUAAUGGGUAUUGCAAAAAUCAGAAGGUAGAUCAAGCUACGCGCCUUUACAGGGAAUGCUUGAUGAAGGGACUAGACCAACAAUUAUUAUAUACAAUAUUUACCCGGGUGGCUCUUUCCAGGCAGGCAAGGUUUGAAAUACUCGAAGCUGUUUGUUGAGAUGCAACUUCAUGACCUGGAACCUAAUUUGACAAAAUAUAAUGUUUAUCUGGAUGUGCUUUGCAAGAACAAUUCUGUUUCAGAGGCAGUAGGACUUGUUUCACAGUUUAGAAAAUUGUAAGUUUGAAUUGAGUGUUGAAAUCUUUAACUGCCUUAUUGAUGGCUUGUGCAAAACAGGGAAGCUUGAAACUGCCUGGGACCUAUUCUACAGAAUGUCUAAUGAAGGUUUAAAGCCAACUGUUGUGACAUAUUCUAUAAUGAUACAUGGACUUUGUAAAGAAGCCAAAUGGAAAAGGCAAAUGAUCUGUUAUUGGAAAUGGAGGACAAAGGUUGUGCUCCAAAUUUGGUCACAUUUAACACACCCAUGCUUAGUUUCUUACAAAAUAAUGAGACACAAAAGGUAGUUGAAUUUCUUCAUUAGAUGAAAGCAAGAAAACUGUCACCAGAUGUAUCCACUGUCUUGAUAGUGAUAGAAUUACUCUCGAAGGAUGAAAACUACCAUGAAUGCAUAAAACUGCUUCCUGAAUUUCCUACUCAAGAGCGAACAAAAAAGUCGACAUGAUGAAUGCCAGUCAUUUGUGUGAUUUGGCUGAAGAAAACUUUAUUAGAACAUUCCCAGAGUUCAACUUUCAACCAGAAGGUGCACAGAACUAUGGCCUGCUGUUGUCCUUCCAUUUGAUUGAAGUUAUUAGUGACAGCUUCAAUGAUGGGGUAAAUCUGUUGAAGUUCAUCAGAGGGUAGUUUGAACUGUUGAGGUGUGGCAUCAGGUUCUGAUUUACAUCGUUGACUACAACUGGAUUCCUUGAAUCUAUAUGUUUAUUCAUAACAGAAGUUGUAGCAUGGGUAUGGUGGACCAGAAUCGUUGAUGGAGCAAAUAUCCUGCUAGUUUGAGGAACAGACGUAAGGGGAUGCUAACAACCACUGUAUCUCUUAAGAUCUGUGACAUCAAGUACGUCUUGAAUAUAUUGCCAACCACUGUAUCUUUUUGUGUACAGGUAUGCAUGUCCUUUGUAUCGUCUUUGUGGAAUAUAUUGCCAAUCUACCCUAAAUUAAUUUUCAGAACUGUUGUUGGAUAUGCUCUUUUAAUAGCCAUGGCAUACAAAUCUAUUUGUAACUGUUUUUUUAAUUGAACCUGAUCACUGGAACUUAUGUUUGGCCACACGCUUGUUGAUAGUUUAGAUAUCCAAUUCAAAUUUGAUAAAAAUUCACAAGAAAGGCAGUGAAUCACCGUGCCUUUAAUGUCAUUAAUUUUAGUUUUUUUUUAUAACUAAAAUUGCAAGUGAAAAUAUGUUUUGGACGUUGUAAUCUCUCUAUCCAUAGAGCACAAUAUAUUUGAAACUUGAAAGUUUAACCAUAUUGGAAAGCUGGAUGAGAAGAUGCAACUUCAUAGUGAGAACCAGAUUAUUGUGAAGUCUGUUGAGCACUGAUCAGUGUCGUAGCAGUGGAUACAAGAACUACCUUUGGAGGCUAUCAUUUCUAAUCAAGUGAGACUUGUGCAUGCAUCUCUCUCAUAGUUGCAAAUAUUUACAUCUAUAAUUGUAAAUGAGGAAAUAUGAGAGCCUGAUGUUAAGUGCAAUUGUCAAAUUCAAUCAUGUAACCAGGCUUAUUUAAGACAGGUGCGUAUUGUAGAGCCCUCAUGCACAAGUAACAGACUAAAGCAACUGAUGGUUUGGAUGGGGCAGGAGAAACUCUAUUGUAAACAUUAGCCUGCAGACCUUUUUAUGGCAGCAGUUAAAAAAACAUUUGAUCGACGUUAAGUCUCUAGAAAAUAGGAAAUAGCUAUGCUGAUGAUCUUAUAUCUGUGAGAGAAGUCGCGAGACUGGCUGGAGUCCCGAUAGAAGUUGUUUGGAUGAGCAACGCUUAGAGCUUAUUUCAGAGGAUCACAGGUUAGUCAGAUCUGGACCAGCAUGGGCCGGAACAAGUGAAAUGAAGGCGUGCCAUUUUGAGAAUUUUUGGAUCCUUCAGACAAAGCGAAAACACCAAGGAGUAAAAAAAGACAUGAUUUAUCAUUUAUGUUUUUUCCAUUUGAAACAUGUAUCUUAAUCACCAGACAUUAUUAAGUGGAUUUACUGGUAGUUGGAUUAUUUCGAAUUGCUUGCAUUACACUUCUAUAAGACAGUGAUUUCUGCA